AGGAACCUGCCUUUCAGAGGGGGACAACAGCUGGAAACGGCUGCUAAUACCGCAUGACGCAUUCGGAUGGCAUCAUCUGAAUGCCAAAGAUUUAUCGCUGAAAGAUGGCCUCGCGUCUGAUUAGAUAGUUGGCGGGGUAACGGCCCACCAAGUCGACGAUCAGUAGCCGGACUGAGAGGUUGACCGGCCACAUUGGGACUGAGACACGGCCCAG
This 214-nucleotide ribosomal RNA is filed under the name uncultured bacterium. Its description in RNAcentral is "partial 16S ribosomal RNA". It matches the Rfam family "Bacterial small subunit ribosomal RNA", at positions 120 to 334 of the family's 1533-position model. The record is from RNAcentral.